AGCAGCCGCGGUAAUUCCAGCUCCAAUAGCGUAUAUUAAAGUUGUUGCAGUUAAAAAGCUCGUAGUUGAAUUUUGGAUUCUUCCAAUUGGUCCAUCUUUUAGAUGAGUACUGGUUGUGUGGGGUCUAUCCGCCUGGUGAUACGUAAUGUCCUUUAUUGGAUGUUGCGGGUAGUCAGGACCUUUACCUUGAAAAAAUUAGAGUGUUUAAAGCAGGCUUAUGCCGGAAUACAUUAGCAUGGAAUAAUAGAAUAGGACGAAGUUGUUUUAUUUUGUUGGUUUCUAGGACAACCGUAAUGAUUAAUAGGGAUAGUUGGGGGCAUUAGUAUUCAAUUGUCAGAGGUGAAAUUCUUGGAUUUAUUGAAGACUAACUACUGCGAAAGCAUUUGCCAAGGAUGUUUUCAUUAAUCAAGAACGAAAGUUAGGGGAUCGAAGACGAUCAGAUACCGUCGUAGUCUUAACCAUAAACUAUGCCGACUAGGGAUCGGGCGAUGUUGUUUCCAUGACUCGCUCGGCACCUUAU
Molecule: non-coding RNA, 520 nt
Filed under: uncultured Glomus
Lineage: Eukaryota; Fungi; Glomeromycota; Glomeromycetes; Glomerales; Glomeraceae
Also listed under: 3 other names
Description: SSU rRNA
Rfam family: Eukaryotic small subunit ribosomal RNA
Source: RNAcentral